This is a long non-coding RNA of Solenopsis invicta (red fire ant), 3882 nucleotides long. RefSeq lists it as uncharacterized. The transcript has 2 exons. The record is from RefSeq and is a predicted model, not a curated record. NCBI's taxonomy places the organism in Eukaryota, Metazoa, Arthropoda, Insecta, Hymenoptera, Formicidae.
CAAUAUGGCUGCUCGCUUAGCCAAUCAAGUAUCAAUCAUUUUACCAAUCAGAGCUUCGGACAUCAAUGUCGCUUCUCUCUUUAUAUAGGACUCUAUAUAGGACCCUAGUCGACAUGGUCGACACUUAGGUUAGAAUCAAAAAGUCAAGCAAAGUUAAGUAAAAAAAAAUAAGAAUAAUAAUAAUUAAGGCCAAAAUAUUUAGACACGAUCCCAAAUAUUUAGACGCGCACGGAAAAUCGAUACGUGCAAGAUGUAUGCAUGCGCGCGUGUGCGUAUACUUUUGGCAGCUACGUGCCAGACGAGAAUUGAUUAUCACAUACACAACUCGCACAAGCGGUUCUCCGAGUCUGAGAUCGUGCCAAAACGUUCGGACCUUAAUUAUAAAAUUAAAAUUAUUAUUGUAAAUAAAGGGUUAUGUAACUUUGAUUUAUAUUUGUUUCUUAUUUUUUUGUUUAUAGUGUUUAUAAUUAAUAUUAAUAUUAUAAAUACGGUACGAAAAUGCGAAGUUUUUGGCUGCCCUGUUAUGGGGUUAUGUGAUAGGGGUUACGAUUAUUUUACUUUCCAAAAUGUGAAAAACAACGUUUAUCUUGGCUAUCUUGGAUAAAAGUCAAACGACCUGGAUGGAUCCCUAAAACGAAUAGUUGUAUAUGUGAAGUAAUUAUCUUAUCGACUAAUCAUUUUUAUGUAUAGCCGGUAUAUUGAUAGUUGAUUCUUAUAUUUAAGACAGUUUUAAAAUAAGUACCGACUAUGAAUAUCGACUCAUAUGACAUUCUAAUGUAAUAUGAUUUUACUUUUUACAUGAUAUAACAUAUAUCUGUUAUUUUGUAUAUAUAUUUUCAGUUGUACUUUGCUCUAAAUUGUUAUGCGAAGCGACAGGAUGGCAAGAAAAUAUUAAAAAAUACAGCUAUACUCAGUUUGCAACAAAAGUCAUUAGAAAACCAGUCAUUUGAAUAUCCAGAGCUACAAAGAGAAACAUUAAAAUACAUAGAAAAUGCAGAGCAUUUAAAGGCAUCAUUGGAAAGAUUUCAAACUUCUAAAACUAUAGUUUAUUUAUCGGAUAUUACUAAUGCUUUUCAUGCGAAAAAAUUAAUUGUUUUACAUGAUUCAGAUUGUUCAACAUCUGUUUUAUCAAAGAAAUUGCUAUCUCAAGUGUCUUCUGUUAGAGACUCUACAGUAGAUAAAGGAAUUACUGAAUCAUCUGAAUCAAGUAAUAAUAUUUCUUUGAACCAUCCUGAUUAUUCUUUUUUAAAUGACUCUAUACCAAUAAAAGUUACACAGUCAUUCUUAUUUUGUCCAGUUAACAAAUCUGAUAUACCUAUAGAAAAUGACAAAAAUUUUAUACAAUCUAAUCUAACAGAAAAUGUCAGCACUCAAACAAAUAUAUUUGAAUAUAAUAAUGUCAGUACUCAAACUAAUAAAUUUGAACGUCAUAAUAUCAGCACUCAAACAGAUAUGUUUGAUAUCAGUAUUCAAACAAAUAAAUUUGAAUAUAACAACAUUUCUGCUGAUAAUUUUGUAACAAUCGUUGAGGCAUUAAAGAAAGAGACAGCUGAGAAACAAAAGAGAAUUGAAAGCCUUAAAAAGCAGCAUAAUACAGGGUUGGGCAGAAAAACCUGACACAUUUUAAAAAAUCGUUAUUCCCCUCCAAGUGAAAAGAGGGCGCUGUAACUCCGGGAGCGAAAAAUAGAUGGUUGAAGGUUUAUGUUUCAAUAUCAGUACAGUUCCAGUAUGGAGAAGUGGCCGCCGCAACAACGCGCGUUCGUUUGCGAGCGUUUUUUCAUAACUCAGUCCUACGUUCAAGCAAUUCGCGAUUUUCGUAUUGAAUAUUCUCUUCGUCCACGAGAUCCGGUUCCCUCUCGUAAUUCUGUGAAUCUGUGGGUCAAAAACUUCCGACAAAUAGCCACAGCCACGAAACAAAAGCCUCCAGGGCAACCAAGAAUGGUAAGAACCCCUGAAAAUAAGACACGCGUUCGCACCUCUUUGCAACGAAGUCCACGCCGUUCUGCCGUUCUUAAUACCGGAGUUGAAGAAGAAACGCAAGUUUCGUCGCACCUUCUUCCAACAAGAUGGCGCCACGUGCCAUACGGCGAAAAAGAAGUUGGAUUUCCUAUACGAAGAAUUCGGCACCCGUCUGCUGUCUCGCAACACUGAGUUUCCAUGGCCACCACGUUCGCCUGAUCUCUCAGUGUGCGACUUCUUUUUGUGGGGCUAUUUGAAGCAACGUGUCUACGCUAACAAACCUCGAACCUUGGACCAGCUGAGAGCCAAUAUUCGGAGAGAAAUUGCAGAAAUAAAGCCAGCGAUGUUGAAAAAAGUGUAUGAUAAUUUCGAAAAACGCCUCGAAAAUUGUAUUGCUUGUAACGGCCAUCAUUUAGCCGAUAUAAUUUUUGGUAAAUAAACAAAAAAAAACCUUCAAGUGUCUAGUUUAUUCUCCCGGAGUUUCAACCUCUUCCGAUUAAUAGCGGCCGCGCAAGUGGUUAUUAAAAUGUGUCAGGUUCCUCUGCCCAACCCUGUAUUAUUAAAAAAAGUAGUAAUAAAGUUUAUAAAAUGUAUUCUGACACUAAACACAAGUAUGCAGCUCAUUACAAACAAGUAAAACGCUUGAAAGAAAAUAAAAACAAGAUUUAUGGUAUUCUUGACGUAUUCAAGAAGUUGGAUCCAGAUCAAAUAGAAGCUUUAAAUAGAAAAUCAAAUAAUGAAUUAAAGUGGAGCUUUGUUACUAUAAAAAAUGCUCUCGUUUUUUAAAAUUAAAUGGGGAACACAAGGUUACAUCGAUUUUGUUAAGCGUCUUCCUAUUUAUCCUAGCAUUCGGACAUUGCAAAGAUAAUUAUUUCAUUUAAAAUUUAAUAGUAGUAUUCUACUAGAAGUGUUUGACAUAAUAAAGACUGAAGUACCUUGUAUGAUCACAGAAGAAAGAGAAUGUGUAAUGGUACUUGAUGAAAUGUCAAUAAAACCUGGCAAAGUGUUUAAUCCAUUAAUACAAAGAAUGAUUGGAUACUGCACUUUUCCUGCACACUCAGGAAUUGCAACAAAAGUUUUAAUUGUUUUAUUGGCAGGAAUUUCUCGUAGAUGGAAGAUUACUGUUGCUUAUUAUUUUAAUGGUAAGGCAGAUUCCGAAUGCAGAAUACAAGAUGUAAAUGCUACAGGAAAUGCAGUGAAAACAAUCAUUCUCACUUUAAUUGAAAAGGCAGAAAAUAUUGGUCUGCGUAUCAACUCAGUGAUCAGCGAUAUGGGCAGUGACAACAAAACCAUGUGGAAUGCAUUCGGAGUUGGUUGUACCAAAGAAUAGAUAUCUGUGCCGCAAAUAAUUUAUCUAAUUCUUUAGUAGAUAUUCAACAUAUUGAAACAUUACUGCAUCAUGAGAACAAGCAUGAAUUGAAAAUAGCUUAUAGACUCAAAGAUACUAAUUUACACUGCAAAAAUCAAUAUAACAAGAUGAGAGUGUCUACCGCUAGUUCAGUUUUAAAUAGAAGAACAAAAACAGCAUUAAAAACUUGCCAAUUAUACAAGUGAUAAUUCAUUUGAAACUACAGCUUUUUUUAUUAAUCUUGUGGAUCGUUGGUUUAACAUCAUGACAAAUAGAUCUCGUAUCUUUGCUCUCAGUAAAUCCAAUAUUAAGAUGUAUAAUGAUGUUAUUGCUCAUCUAAGGAAAACUCAGCAAAUAUUUUAUUCCAUGUUAAUAGGGAAAAAAGGACACUGGAAGCCAGUACAAUCUGGAGUAAUAAUGGCAACAGAAAGCAUUAUCGAGUUGCAGCAAUAUUUUUUAAAUGAAAAGGGGUAUAAUAUACUUUUUUUAACAGGCCGUUUUACUCAAGAUUGCCUCGAAAAUCUAUUUUCUCUCUUAAGAUUUAAGCAACCUAUUCCAAACCCUCUUCUUGUUAA